AUGCUAGUUAGCUUGAGCUACAGCACCUUGGGUCACUGUUUCAAUAGCUACAAUUGUUUCGGCAACUUCUCUAGCUGUACACUUGUACUACUUCUUUCGAAUUUGAUACCUACGAGCCCAUCCAGUAAACUGUGGGUUCAUCUUGCCGGUGGAGAGCUCGGACGCUUAGUGGGAUCCAAUUCCAGGGAUUUUCUAGGUUCAUUAAUCAAGCCUUUUGGGGUGAAAUUUCCCUUUCUGCCAGUCUGCCGCCACCACUGCUUGGGUCGCACAGAUUUGUCCGUCCCUGCUCAGCUCUGGGGCCGCCGCGUGCUGCAGCUCGCCGACGCCGGCGACGGGCUAAUGCAGGGCGCCAUCGGGACAUCGCUAUCAUUGACCUCCUCAAGCACCGUGAAUCUUUUAAUUGGCUGCAUCAGGAAUUCUAUCUCCUGCUCAUCGGCGACGGCCCAUUCCCACGGUGGCUGA
This 462-nucleotide ribosomal RNA is filed under the name Triticum aestivum (bread wheat). Its description in RNAcentral is "partial small subunit ribosomal RNA". Lineage: Eukaryota; Viridiplantae; Streptophyta; Magnoliopsida; Poales; Poaceae. The record is from RNAcentral.